Long non-coding RNA from Cyanistes caeruleus (blue tit), 1065 nucleotides. RefSeq lists it as uncharacterized. The record is from RefSeq and is a predicted model, not a curated record. NCBI's taxonomy places the organism in Eukaryota, Metazoa, Chordata, Aves, Passeriformes, Paridae.
CCAGGCACACGGAGCAAGUGGCUUCGUCCUGAAGGUUCCCGGGCAGGAACACGGCUGCCAUGGCCUCUCUCCUGCGGCAGGGAGGUUGGAAGAGGAAAAUCUUUUGGGAUACCCUCCCGUUUGGGGAUGUCACCAGCUCUGGAUGGAGCUGAUUUAUGGCUGAGCUGCUGCUGAAUCUGAGCUCUGGGGCUUGUGUGGAGCAGCUGCUCCAGGCUCAGAUCCAGGGAAACAUCUGAGCCUUCAUUAAAGUCCUGUGUUGCCCCUGAAACUCCGGUUAGGGACUCAGAUGACCUGGUUGUGCUCCAGGGCUCAUCAGGGGCCAUAAAAAGCAACAGGAGAAAGGGAAUACACGAGGAUGCAAAGCCCUCGUCAAGAUCUCUGGGUGAGUUUCCUGAAUCCAUAAAGAUCAAGCUCGGGAUAGGAGUUCUGCACCUCAAAAGAAAGUAACCUUGGUCUUCAAGAAAUAUUUUGUGGGGGCUUGGAGGUCGUGCAUUAAAUGGAAAUGAUAAUUAAAAUACAUAUAAUUUUUCCGGGACUGGGGUUGUCCAUAGCGUGGUGGUUUCCACCUGAGACUUCACCGAGCUCUUGUCAUGGUAAGCUGGGACAGGAGGGAGUGACAGUCACCUGGCUACUGAGGGGUUCAUGUUACCAUGGACUGGGAAACGUGGGAUCCUCUAGAGAGCGAUUUGUCUUCUCCUAAUGAGGACCUGAAAUCAGAUCGAGUGAUCCAUAAAUUCUGACGUGAAAGCCAGCCCCUGCUAAUCCAACACCUCUGAAUUGGGAUCUUGGACACAUCUGGAGCUGUGACAGGGAGGGACAAAUCCCAGCCCCAGAGGUUCUGCUGGGAACUUGAGGAAUUAAUCAGCAAAACCAGUCCUGAAAUUGUCCUGCAGAGCAUUACAACUGUGCAUGUUUAUCUGCCCCUUCUUAUAUAUUUAUAUAUUUUUAUAUGUUUAUAUAUAUUUAUAUCACUCCAUAUGGAAGGAGAAUUCCUUCUCUCCUACCUUCCGUUUCUUUUGAUCUGUAAAUAAACACGAAGAAAUAGUGUGUAUUUUUCCUAUUCCA